UACCUGCACUAAAUCUCACCCUCUGCCCACUUCGCCAUUCUCCUUUCUCAAAUCAGGAAGAGGAGUCAGCGGCUGGAAGGCCCCUGUCGGAGCCGCGGGCAGCCGAGCAUGCUCAGUAGCCGGGCGCUCUGAGCUCCCUGCAAGCUACGGCUGGCGCUCGGCUCGGGGCUCCAGCCGCGGCUGAUCCCGGUUCCCGGAAAGCUCCUCUCCGCCCCACAACGUGCGUCUUUAGGAUCUUUGGUGCAGCCGCGCGGCAGCGGGCUCCCCGGAGUCCGCCAGCCCGGUCCCCGCCUGCUCGGCGCGGGACUCCUGGUCCCCACGCGGCAGUCCCGCUCUUCCAGCGGCGGCUGAAUGAUCCAGCAGAAAUGACAGGCUGGGGCUUAGCCUUGGAGGGCGAGUGAGAGCCGCUUCUCUUCGGAGCCGGAGAGAGGAGGUGUGUCGCGGAAGGAAGUGCCCGGGGAAGAUUCUUGUAGCAGCUCAAAUCGUCGCUUCUGUCUUCACUCCUUGUCGCCCGGUGCUCCCUGCUCUUGACCUGGGAAGGAUGGUUACAGUAGUAACGAAGCUCGUGCACUGCUUUCACCUCGGGUAUCCCAGCUCUCUGCAUUCACAGCACCCUGAGUUCUGGGCUCCCAGCUGACCUGUGGCAAGACAAAAGCUGCCAGUCGGGGAACUCUGAAGUUGAUAGUCUGGCCUCUGACUUUUACCUGUUCACACUCCCUGAGUUCACAGAUCCCCAGCCCAGGCGGCCCUGGGUGGAAUUAACUGCAGAAGCACCCUUUUCAGAAGCUCUCAAUAACCCGGGAUUUUACUGAGAAAACUGUCUCCCAAGGCUUGCCUCUGCUUGUUCUUGGUGGCUGUCAGCUAGAAUGGUGCCUUAGUGAUCAAUCGGAAGAAGAAAAAAACAGGGACGAAGUUGUCCCCAUGUUUGGAUAUUGAGGAGCAGGCAGAUGGUCAUUUUCCUUCCUCUCCUUCACUGCCGCCUCAGCCAAUUAUGACACACGAGGAGGAGUAAAACUCUAUUCCAGUGCAAGUCCUUCUGUUUUCCUUUUAAAGAGGAACAUUAGCCAUGAGCUAACAUCUGCUGCCAAUCUUCCUUCUUUUUGCUGAGGAAGACUUGCCCUGAGCUAACAUCUGUGCAUAUCUUCCUCUGCUUUCUAUGUGGGAUGCCUACCACAGCAUGGCUUGCCAAGUGGUGCCAUGUCCGCGCCCGGAUCCGAACCUGCAAACGCUGGGCCGCCGAAGUGGAACGUGUGCACUUAACCGCUGCACCACCGGCCCAGCCCCUCUUUUUCAUAUUUGAUUAAAAAUAAUAACAGCUACAGCAUAUGAACAGAGAAAAUUGUACAACUGUUUGUGUUUGUUUUGCAAAGUUGCUAUUAAUGCUGUUUCCUGCUGUGCUGUAACUGUUUCUAGGAAGGCAUCUCUUGUGUUUUGAAGUUGGCUACUUUAUGUGAUUAACUGUAUUAAUUUCUUCUUCAUUGAUCAUUUUUCAUCAUAGUUACUUGUUACUUUACUUAUAAGGGAAACCUGGAAAAUCUUAGUUAAGCCAAUUUAAUAAAGUGCCUUAUUUUUAAGGAUGACAAAAAUAAAAGUAGCAGAAUGUAUCUUCUCUGUGUGUUUACGAGUCAUGCGAGCGAUGGAUCAAGUUUCACUGUAGUUCGUUUUUCUGCCUAUCUUAUAAAUGCUAGAGCUUUUGAUUAAGGUUGUAGAAUAAAGAAGCAGCUUGCCUAUAAAGUGACUACAGAUUAUUCUAAAACAAACCAGAAAUGUUGUCCCCUUUGAAGAAAAUUUAUGAGGAGCCGAUGCCUUGGGGAUAUGUUAUUAUAAGCGUCCGUCAAGGAUCAAAGUAGGCUUGAAACACCUCUGCUGGGCUAUCUUUUGGAAUAGGUUUAUGAGCCACGUAAAAAUCUCUCUCAUAGACAGUUCUUAUGUGGUAAUAGAAUGUGUUUUGAUUGUAAAACCAGUUAACUUGCUUUAUAGUCACAUGUGAGCGGUAAGCUGUCCCUUGCAGUUUAAGUAGGACUAAUGGGGAUGUCAUUUGCAGUAAUGUUUCUCUAUUUUUCUCUAAUUAAGGGGCUUUCUGUGUUUUAAUUUCAUAAUAAAAACAUGUGUCUUUGCUUUU
Molecule: long non-coding RNA, 2122 nt
Organism: Equus asinus (donkey)
Lineage: Eukaryota; Metazoa; Chordata; Mammalia; Perissodactyla; Equidae
Source: Ensembl